Long non-coding RNA from Cyprinus carpio carpio, 3319 nucleotides. Lineage: Eukaryota; Metazoa; Chordata; Actinopteri; Cypriniformes; Cyprinidae. The record is from Ensembl.
AGACAAGGUUGUUCCUUGUCUGGAAUGUUGUACUCUUUGGCUAUUGAGCCACUUCUUCAACAGAUAAGAAUACAUUUAAGUGGUUUGUGUUUACCAAAUUGUAAUAACAAUAUUCAUUUGUCAGCUUAUGCUGAUGAUGUUGUGGUGUUGAUUCAUAAACAAAGUGAUGUACACUCUUUACUUAACUUAAUCAAAGAUUUUAAAAAUUUGUCUUCUGCUAAGGUUAACUGGCAAAAAAAAGUAAUGCUUUAUUGUUGGGUCAGUGGUCUAAUGGGAUACCUUGUCUGCCUGAUGGGUUGUGUUGGGGCAGGGGAGGCUUAAAAUAUUUAGGAGUCUAUUUGGGAGAUGAUAGUGUUUUUUUACAGAAAAAUUGGGAGGGGGUAUUGGAAAAAGUCAAAGGGCGCUUGGAUAAAUGGAAAUGGUUACUUCCAAAUAUGUCCUACAGAGGGCGGGCUCUUAUUGUCAACAAUCUAGUCGCUUCCUCACUUUGGCAUAGAUUGGCUUGUGUAGACCCUUCUUCACAGUUUUUAUCUGAAGUUCAAGCCACUCUUGUGAAUUUUUAUUGGGUUCCCCAGAGUAUUUUAUACCUCCCCAAAGAAGAAGGUGGACAAGGUUUAAUUCAUUUACAAAGUAGAGUUGCUGCUUUUCGUUUACAGUUUGUACAAAGAUUUUUGGAUGGUUCAACAAAUUGUAGCUGGUGUUCUGCUACCUGCACAAUUCUGCGUACAGUUGGAGGUUCGGGACUGGAUAAAUCACUCUUUUUAAUGGAUCCCACAAAGUUGGAUUUAUCGUAACUGCCUAUUUUUUAUCAGAAUCUCUUCAAAGUGUGGAGUUUUUUUUGUGUCCGUCAGACUGAGAAUUUUUUCUCUCUUCACUGGUUAUUACUGGAGCCAUUGAUUCUCGGGGCCCGUUUGGACAUUACUGCACGAAGUAACCUACAAGGAUUUAGCACCUCUCUUCGGCAAUCCAGGAUUUUCACUUUGGGACACUUAUUGACUAUAACUUGGGCCUCACUUUGAACAGGUGGAGGCAACUUCCAAGCGGUUGGGUAUUAGAUCUAUCCGCUUGCUCGCACAGUUUUUAACAAAGUUAAGACUCUGUUUUACAGUUGAAGAAGACCAGAUGUUGAAGGAUUUUUUUGCAGGGAUUAGUGUUCCUGAUCCGGAGGAUCCCUUUCCCUGUUUAUUCGUGCAACCCAUUCUUGAUGAGAAUAUAGGCUUUAGUUUUCUUUUAAAAUCACAUGAAUCUUUGGUUUUAGAUUUCUUAUCAUGUGAAGGUAAAAAACUGUAUAGAACUUGUGUUUUGGUCUUUAUCAAGAAGUCUUUGGUUAGCAGAAUCGAUACACCAUGGCAUUCAGUUUUCAGUUUGAAAAAUGAUGUAAAACCCGAAUGGAGAUCUUUGUAUAAGCCACCAUUGUCAAAGAGGGUAGGUGAUAUACAAUGGAGGGUUUUGCAUGGUGCCAUUGCUGUUAAUUCUUUUAUCUCAGUGAUGAACCCAGAAGUUGAUCCUGGAUUCCCUUUUUGUCUUCAAAGAGAGACUAUUUUUCACAUGUUCAUGCACUGUUUUAGAUUACAGCCUUUAUUUGUGAAGCUUAAGGAAUUGUUUGGUAGGUUCAAUUAAAAUUUUUCAACUGAGACUUUUAUUAUGGGUUCUAAAUAUUUCCAGAAAAAACGUUUUGUUUGUAAAUUGUUGAAUUUCAUUUUAGGACAAGCAAAGCUGGCUGUGUAUAUUAGGUGGAAAAAUAACAUUCAGCAAAGGUCUAGCAAUGAUGUUUAUGUGUGUUUUCUGGCUUUGGUCAAAUCGAGGGUAUUGAUCGACUUUAAUUUUUAUAGAGCCAUGGAAGAUCUUUUAACUUUUGAACAAAUUUGGUGUAGUCAUGGUGCUUUGUGCACAAUAUCCGAAAAUGAGUUCGUGUUUUUCUUAUAAUCCCAUAGUGUUAUCUUUUCUUUAAUGUGCUUGCUGUAUGUUUUAAGUCAUUUGUGCAGUGUGUUUUGAGCAUUUGUAAAUAAAGCUUUUUUCAAAAUCAAAAAAUCUCUCAAAAUCAAAUAAAAAAUAAACUAACAAUUAAACAUUUAAACUUUGUGUGCUUUAAUCGCUUUCACAGUUCUGUCAAAUUAAUGGAAGAUAUAGUAAAAAUUUGCACAAUCAGUCGCAGUAAAUGGAGAAAGUCAUCUGCUCAGCCUUAAUUAUGUCAUUCUUAAACAUUUUGAGUAAAUGUUGUAUUAAAUUAAAGUAGAGAACCUAUUGAUCCAUAUUAUACCACUAUAUUCACAAAUCAAAUUAGAAACCAUAAGUAAAAUUUUGAUUUGUUGUUGUGAUGUGUUAGGUUGCUAGCUGCAAAGUGGCUACUUUGCUCACUUGCUAAUGUUGAUGUGGUUUAAGGCUAUAUUUCUGCUCUUCCUCUGAAACAGGAAGAAGCAGAGACACUGCAAGAAGUGACCAGAUCCUGUCAUGCACAUGCACUCUGCUGUAGACAUGAUUUACCCUCUGAUUCUCUCUGGAAUUUUACUUCACAUCACAGGUCAACUUCUGACAGCCGAUGAAAAUGGUUGAAUAUGUAAAAUAUAUUUUUAUAUCUCAAAAUCAACUUAUUGUAUAACUGAUACAACUAGUUUCUCAAAAAGUGAAAUGAUCAUACAUAAUCUUCUCAAGCAAAGAGAGAAAGAGCUCUAGUGAGCAUCAGUGUCAAAAUAUGCUAAUUUGUGAUUGAUAAAACUUAAUACACUUGCCACCCAGAUCCCGUUAUUAGUGGAACAGAGAUGUAAAUAAAAGUGUGAUGUAACUUAAAGAAGUGUGGAAGUGCAUCAGUUACUAACUUUGUGUGUUAAAAUGCAGUUAUUGUGAUUGGUUUGCUCAGUAAACUUUGCUGCUGUCUGGUUGACCAAGGCUUCAACUCUAAUGAAACACACCUGAACAAGCUAAUCAAGGUCUGAAGGGUUACUAGAAAGCUACAGGCAGAUCUACUCUAAACCUGAAGAUCCACCGAUAUACAGCACUAUAAAUGAUGAAAACCCAAAUGAUCUCAACAAGGACAUAAUCUACUACAGUACUAUUGAUGAUGUUCCUGGGAGUGAAGCAGUGAGGCCUCCAGCAGGCGGAGCGAUAUACAGCAUAAUAUACAGCACUGUGGAUCCACACUGACUGCAACAGUGAAGAACUCAGGAACAGAACCUUCUGACCAUGAGAAACAAAAUCAGGAUCAGAGGACUGUCAUCACAACUUUUUUGUAGUUUUUUGUAUUAUCUGCUUAUAAUUUCUUCACUGUAAGUUUACUUGUACAGUUUUAUGUUGUUUGCAUUAAUACAAACAAGCAUGGGCC